Molecule: transfer RNA, 74 nt
Filed under: Armatimonadota bacterium
Lineage: Bacteria; Bacillati; Armatimonadota
Description: Armatimonadetes bacterium (glacier metagenome) tRNA-Met
Rfam family: tRNA
About the family: Transfer RNA (tRNA) molecules are approximately 80 nucleotides in length. Their secondary structure includes four short double-helical elements and three loops (D, anti-codon, and T loops). Further hydrogen bonds mediate the characteristic L-shaped molecular structure. tRNAs have two regions of fundamental functional importance: the anti-codon, which is responsible for specific mRNA codon recognition, and the 3' end, to which the tRNAs corresponding amino acid is attached (by aminoacyl-tRNA synthetases). tRNAs cope with the degeneracy of the genetic code in two manners: having more than one tRNA (with a specific anti-codon) for a particular amino acid; and 'wobble' base-pairing, i.e. permitting non-standard base-pairing at the 3rd anti-codon position.
Source: RNAcentral
GGCAACAUAGCUCAGCUGGUUAGAGCAUCGGAUUCAUAACCCGAAGGUCGCGGGUUCAAGUCCCGCUGUUGCUA